This 374-nucleotide unclassified non-coding RNA is filed under the name soil metagenome. RNAcentral's name for it is "partial contains internal transcribed spacer 2 and large subunit ribosomal RNA". The stretch from base 1 to 120 matches the Rfam family "5.8S ribosomal RNA", at positions 35 to 154 of the family's 154-position model. The record is from RNAcentral.
GAUGAAGAACGCAGCGAGAUGCGAUAAUUAAUGUGAAUUGCAGAAUUCCGUGAAUCAUCGAGUCUUUGAACGCACAUUGCGCCUCAUGGCAUUCCGUGAGGCAUGCCCAUCUCAGCGUUAGAAAAUAUUCUCAAAUUUUAGUUUUGUGCUAAAAUUUGGAUCAUGUCAAAGAAGCUAUUACUAUUAUUGUGAUCGCUCUUUGGAAAUUGAUAGGUCUUUGAGUUGCUACUCAUAGAACGUGAUGAAUCUUUCUUCGUUCUAUUGUAAUUCACUCUGGUAGUCCUAAAACUUGUAUGCCUGUGGCAUAUCUUGUAAUUUGACCUGAGAUUGGGUAGGGAUACCCGCUGAACUUAAGCAUAUCAAUAAGCGGAGGA